Molecule: small RNA, 16 nt
Filed under: Arabidopsis thaliana (thale cress)
Lineage: Eukaryota; Viridiplantae; Streptophyta; Magnoliopsida; Brassicales; Brassicaceae
Description: ATSL066830
Source: RNAcentral
AGAAAAACCAUAAAAA